CCCUAGCCCAGAUAGAAGCGGUAUCCUUUUCCAUCGCCUCCUUAGGCGAAAGAAAAGAUAUAGCGGAUAGCUGGAAUUAGC
This 81-nucleotide small RNA is filed under the name Flavobacterium segetis. Its description in RNAcentral is "Flavo-1 RNA". It matches the Rfam family "Flavo-1 RNA". Lineage: Bacteria; Pseudomonadati; Bacteroidota; Flavobacteriia; Flavobacteriales; Flavobacteriaceae. The record is from RNAcentral.